This 497-nucleotide ribosomal RNA is filed under the name uncultured bacterium. Its description in RNAcentral is "partial 16S ribosomal RNA". It matches the Rfam family "Bacterial small subunit ribosomal RNA", at positions 28 to 507 of the family's 1533-position model. The record is from RNAcentral.
GAUGAACGCUGGCGGCGUGCCUAAUACAUGCAAGUCGAGCGCACAGACGAGGAGUUUGCUCCUCUGACGUUUGCCGCGGACGGGUGUGUAACGUAUGGAUCCUCUACCUUAACGACUGGGAACUCUUCGGGAAAAUAGCGCUUAUACCGGAUUAUUAAUUGAUCCGUAUGGUUUACUAGUGAAAGACGGUUUUGUUGCUACUUAUAGGUGGUUCCGCGUCGUAUUUGCUAGUUGGUAUGGUAGCGCCUUACCAAGACGAUGCAUCGACGCCGACCUGGGAGGGUGACCGGCAACACUGGAACGGGGACACGGUCAGGACUCCUACGGAAGGAGGAAGUAGGGAAUCUUCCGCAAUGGGCGAAAGCCUGACGGAGCAACGCCGCGGAAGUGAUGAAGGUCUUCGGAUCGUAAGACUCUGUGAUUGGGGAAGAAGAAAGGGGGAAGUAACUAUGCACGUCGUGACGGUACCUAAUCAGAAAGCCACGGCUAACUACGUG